UCUGUCUCAGAGGUUCCCGUCUGCGGCCGCGUUUUUAAAAUAAAACUUUUAAAAGUAGCUCAGCUUUAUGACAGGAUCAUUUAUCUCAAAGAACACCUAAUCAUUGGUUUGAAUUGUAUCCCUUCCUUCCUGGCUCUAUUUUCCUUGAUCACCGCUUAAACAAAUAUUCCCUCGUGUCAUUGGGUUGCAGGGAGGUUUGAUAUUUUUCGCUUAGAUCGUUUACACCCAUCCAGGGCUCCAAGCAAAGCAGACGGAUCGUAUCAAAAUCUCUUAUAAUCCCAACACAAGAAGCUUAGUCUCUUUUAAAAGAACGAGCUGUAAGGACUGUCAUUGUUUCGUCACUAAACACUUUUAUUUUAAAGUAAACAGCCGAAUAUUUUUUAUAGCUUUUGAUGUAUUCAAAAGCUCGUUACACCAAAGCAACAUAUGGGGGAGGGAAGUUUGGGUGCCGGAGAAAUAACGAACAAGCUUCAGUCCCUCGGUGACUCUCUCCCAGAUGCAUAGAAUAUGAGCCAUAAAGCAGUUUAAAUCUGGAUAUAUAUCCAGUUAUCAUUAAGUGUGUUCAAACGAUGUGUGCAAGAUUGACACAUCACAUUAAUAUUAAUUCAGUAUUAUUAAAUUGAGCUUGUGAAAAUGCUGAAUACCCCCCCAAAAAAUCCAUGAUAGUCACCGAUUUAACGCACAAAUGGAUAUGCCUGCUUCCUCUAUGCAUGUAUCAAAUGGACUGCCUGACCCAACGACUCUGCCCACCCCUGGAGCCGAACCUCCGAUUCUCAAGAUGGUAGUGCACUUGAGCGGCUUUACCGACUGAGGCUUGUGAACAUCAUAUGAUACCUCCCAACAUGAAGACACCCUUUUUGGCCUUCCUGAAGUCCUUAUGCUUAGACCAUUCUGGGGAAAUCCCGCCCGGCUCUGGGGCAG
Polypterus senegalus (gray bichir) is the source of this 921-nucleotide long non-coding RNA. RefSeq lists it as uncharacterized. NCBI's taxonomy places the organism in Eukaryota, Metazoa, Chordata, Cladistia, Polypteriformes, Polypteridae. The transcript has 3 exons. The record is from RefSeq and is a predicted model, not a curated record.